GAUGAACGCUGGCGGCGUGCCUAAUACAUGCAAGUCGAGCGAACAGACGAGGAGCUUGCUCCUUCGACGUUAGCGGCGGACGGGUGAGUAACACGUAGGUAACCUACCUAUAAGACUGGGAUAACUUCGGGAAACCGGAGCUAAUACCGGAUAAUAUUUCGAACCGCAUGGUUCGAUAGUGAAAGAUGGCUUUGCUAUCACUUAUAGAUGGACCUGCGCCGUAUUAGCUAGUUGGUAAGGUAACGGCUUACCAAGGCAACGAUACGUAGCCGACCUGAGAGGGUGAUCGGCCACACUGGAACUGAGACACGGUCCAGACUCCUACGGGAGGCAGCAGUAGGGAAUCUUCCGCAAUGGGCGAAAGCCUGACGGAGCAACGCCGCGUGAGUGAUGAAGGUCUUCGGAUCGUAAAACUCUGUUAUUAGGGAAGAACAAACGUGUAAGUAACUGUGCACGUCUUGACAGUACCUAAUCAGAAAGCCACGGCUGACUACGUG
This 497-nucleotide ribosomal RNA is filed under the name uncultured bacterium. RNAcentral describes it as "partial 16S ribosomal RNA". It matches the Rfam family "Bacterial small subunit ribosomal RNA", at positions 28 to 507 of the family's 1533-position model. The record is from RNAcentral.